RNAcentral lists this ribosomal RNA (479 nucleotides) under uncultured bacterium. RNAcentral describes it as "partial 16S ribosomal RNA". It matches the Rfam family "Bacterial small subunit ribosomal RNA", at positions 28 to 507 of the family's 1533-position model. The record is from RNAcentral.
GAUGAACGCUGGCGGCGUGCUUAACACAUGCAAGUCGAACGAAGCACUUAAGAUUGAUUCUUCGGAUGACGUCUUUUGUGACUUAGUGGCGGACGGGUGAGUAACGCGUGGGUAACCUGCCUCACACAGGGGGAUAACAGCUAGAAAUGACUGCUAAUACCGCAUAACCCGAUAGGAUCGCAUGAUCCAGACGGAAAAGAUUUAUCGGUGUGAGAUGGACCCGCGUCUGAUUAGCUAGUUGGUGAGGUAACGGCCCACCAAGGCGACGAUCAGUAGCCGGCCUGAGAGGGUGAACCGCCACAUUGGGACUGAGACACGGCCCAAACUCCUACGGGAGGCAGCAGUGGGGAAUAUUGCACAAUGGCGGGAACCCUGAUGCAGCGACGCCGCGUGAGUGAAGAAGUAUUUCGGUAUGUAAAGCUCUAUCAGCAGGGAAGAAAAUGACGGUACCUGACUAAGAAGCCCCGGCUAACUACGUG